CAUACGGCUCAGUAACACGUAGUCAACCUGCCCUGGAGACGCGGACAAUCGCGGGAAACUGCGGCUAAUACGCGGUAGAUGACCUCCUCUGGAAGGAGAGGUCGUCCAAAGGGCUGCACCGGUAUGCUCGGUGCAUUCGCUCCAGGAUGGGACUGCGGCCGAUCAGGCUGUUGGCGGGGUAAUGGCCCACCAAACCUGUAACCGGUACGGGCUUUGAGAGAAGGAGCCCGGAGAUGGGCACUGAGACAAGGGUCCAGGCCCUACGGGGCACAUCAGGCGCGAAAACUUCGCAAUGCGCGAAAGCGUGACGAGGCUAGUCCGAGUGCUUCCCGCUGAGGGGAGCUUUUCUUUGCUGUAAAUAGGCAGGGGAAUAAGGGGAGGGCAAGCCUGGUGUCAGCCGCCGCGGUAAUACCAGCUCCUCGAGUGGUCGGGGCGAUUAUUGGGCCUAAAGCAUCCGUAGCCGGUUCCGUAGGUCCUCUGUUAAAUCCAACAGCUCAACUGUUGACCUGCAGAGGAUACCGCGGGACUAGGAGGCGGGAGAGGCGGACGGUACUCCGCGUGUAGGGGUAAAAUCCUUUGAUCCGCGGAAGACCACCAGUGGCGAAGGCGGUCCGCCAGAACGCGCUCGACGGUGAGGGAUGAAAGCUGGGGGAGCGAACC
Molecule: ribosomal RNA, 660 nt
Filed under: uncultured archaeon
Lineage: Archaea
Description: bacterial SSU rRNA
Rfam family: Archaeal small subunit ribosomal RNA
Source: RNAcentral